This 412-nucleotide long non-coding RNA is filed under the name Malus domestica (apple). RNAcentral describes it as "long non-coding RNA (MDOM_LNC009914)". Lineage: Eukaryota; Viridiplantae; Streptophyta; Magnoliopsida; Rosales; Rosaceae. The record is from RNAcentral.
AAAAAUACAAAAACUUAGAAUUUAAAAGAAAAAUAACUACUUAAGGGGGUGGGGUAAGAAAAACUACUGCUGGCUGGGUGGGGGGUUAAAUCACUCAAGAAACUUAAUCGACUUCCUCCAUCUUGCUGCCCUCUGCAUCAGCAUCAGCGUCCUCCAAUGGUGGCAUCUCUGCGUCGCCCUCCACAGCGUCAUCAUCAAUGCUCAGUCCAAGCUUCAACAUCCUGUGGAUCCUGUUGCCGAAGGUGUUGGGGUCGUCGAGGCUGAACCCGGAGGUGAGAAGAGAAGUCUCGAACAGGAGGAGGACAAGGUCCUUCACCGACUUGUCGUUCUUAUCUGCAUCAGCCCUCUUCCUGAGCUCCUCCAUGAUCGGGUUCUCGGGGUUGAUCUCCAUGGUCUUCUUGGAAGACAUGUA